AAGCGCUCAUGACCAGACUUGGGCCCGGUGAAUCACCCAGCGUUCUCGCUGGGGCACUUUGCCGGGCUCAGGCCAGCAUCAGUUCGCGCCGGGGGACAAAGACUUCGGGAAUGUGGCUCCUCCGGGAGUGUUAUAGCCCGUUGUGUAAUACCCUGGGGCGGACUGAGGUUCGCGCAUCUGCAAGGAUGCUGGCGUAAUGGUCAUCAGCGA
This 210-nucleotide ribosomal RNA is filed under the name Paecilomyces sp. RNAcentral describes it as "partial large subunit ribosomal RNA". Lineage: Eukaryota; Fungi; Ascomycota; Eurotiomycetes; Eurotiales; Thermoascaceae. The record is from RNAcentral.